GACGAACGCUGGCGGUGUGCUUCACACAUGCAAGUCGAACGAGGUAGCAAUACCUAGUGGCGGACGGGUGAGUAACGCGUGGGAAUCUGCCUUUAGAUGGGGGAUAACGGGUCGAAAGACUCGCUAAUACCGCAUAUGACGAAAGUUGAAAGGAGUAAUCCGUCUAAAGAUGAGCCCGCGUCGAUUAGCUAGUUGGUAGAGUAAAAGCCUACCAAGGCGACGAUCGGUAGCUGGUCUGAGAGGAUGAUCAGCCACAAUGGGAACUAGAGACACGGCCCAUACUCCUACGGGAGGCAGCAGUGGGAAUUUACGCAAUGGCGAAAGCCUGACGUAGCGACACCGCGUGAGCGAAGAAGCCCCUUGGGGUGUAAAAGCUCUGUCAGCUGGAACGAAAAAAAUGACGGUACCAGCAGAGGAAGCAUCGGCUAACUACGUGCCAGCAG
Molecule: ribosomal RNA, 443 nt
Filed under: uncultured bacterium
Lineage: Bacteria
Description: bacterial SSU rRNA
Rfam family: Bacterial small subunit ribosomal RNA
Source: RNAcentral